Papaver somniferum (opium poppy) is the source of this 6688-nucleotide RNA transcript. RefSeq lists it as uncharacterized. The record is from RefSeq and is a predicted model, not a curated record. The transcript is spliced from 8 exons. Lineage: Eukaryota; Viridiplantae; Streptophyta; Magnoliopsida; Ranunculales; Papaveraceae.
AUAGCCCACAAAACUAAACCUAUUACAUUUCAUGCAUUAUUAUUUUAUUUCUUACAAAGGGUUUUACUCAUAUUUCUCCUCCUCUCUCCCUGUCUCUCGCUUCCAUUACGCCCUAGUCUUCGCAGAACCCAAUAGACUCUCGAAACUCCUAAAUCAAAAAUCCCUUCCUCCGUGGUUUUAAAUCCUAGGGUUUUACUUUUUGCCCUAAAUUUUUUAAUUUAAGAAUCCCUAUUUACAGUCUCUGUAUUGUAGAUUCAAUCAAUCGGAGAAACCAAGUAAGUUUGUUUGUUUUGUCAUUUCAGUAAUUUUGUUUUGUCAAUUUCUCCAUGUUAUAGAGAAAUAUAGUGGAACUGAAAAUCAUUGAAACCUAGAAAGAUUGGUUAAGGGUUUGUGUUUAUUUAUUUAUUAGGUUUAGAGAUUCACCAUUUAUUUUUCUAUACCUAUUUCUUUCACUUGUCAUGCGAGAGAAGGGUAAAACUGUUUUUCCUAAACAAAAACAACACACAGAUUCUGAUAGAUUUGUCAAAGUUAAGAAGAAAGAGAAGAGUUUAGAUGCUAUUUGUGAACAAGUAUAUAAUCAACAUCGUGUUAGUAAAGAUGAGAACAAUGCCGAAGAGGUUGGAUCAGACUCUGGAUUACUUCGUAGGAGUACUCGUGCUAGGAGAGCACCUAUGGUACUUGAUGCAUCCCCUUCUCCUCCUGUAAGAAAGAGGCGUGGAUUUGAUAAUGGCAGUGGUGGUGGUUCUGUGUCUUUCAGAAAUAAGGAUUGGAUUGAAGAUGGAUUGAAGAAGACCUCUUCAUCCAGGAGUUCUGAAAAUCUGGAUGAAUCGAGUGGUUGGACGUCAAGGCUUAGAUCUAGAGCUGGUAAUGUUAACUUUGCAUUAAUGGGAAAGAGUUGCUCUCCUCGGGGUAAGAGGAAACUUAUAUAUGACGAGGAUGAGUCAGGAGAAGGAUCCGAGGUGAAUGGUAGUGAAAUGAAUAACAAGAAGGAAGAGUUUAAAGAGGCAACAUCAACUGUAGUUAAGGAGAAUAUGGUCGUUAAUGAUGAAACCAACGGUUUGAAGGCUCACAAGGCUGAUAAUCAACCAACUCCGUCUUCUGAUAAAGUAGAACAAAACAAUGAUAUGAAUGUUGAAGAUCAAAAUGACACGGAAGUUACUCCAGUUAGUUUUAGACAGGAAACUGAGGAAGGGGAGGGGCAAAGGGCGGGUAGUUUGAAAUUUGAUGUGAAGCAGAGUGGAAGCAAGUAUGUGGAGACAAUGGCGGAAUUUGAUGAGCAGCUGAAAAAAGUAGGUAGUGAAAAGGAAGAAGGGAACCAAGUAAAUGCUGUGGAAAUGGAGGAAAUUCAGGCAGAACAAUUAGAUAUAUGUGGGUCUUGUGAGGACAAGGAUACCUCGCUAGGCGACCUUGGUGGAGAGCCUGUAGUGGAUGAGAAUAAUACAAAGAUGGAUGAGAAUAGCACAAAGAUGGAUGAGAAUAACACAAAGAUGGAUGAGAAUAAUAUAAAGAUGGAUGAGUUGAAACAAUUUCGAACUGGUACUCCCUACAAGACUCGGAUAAGAGAAGGGCGAAGAUGUGGUUUGUGUGGCGGAGGGACUGAUGGAAAACCUGCAAGAAAGUUGGUCCAUUAUUCGGCUGAGAGUGAUGAUGAGGCAUAUGGGGGGUCAUCAGCUUCAGAGGAGAUCAAUAUCAGUUAUAAUGUGUUGGAUGGCUUUGUGGACGAACCUGGCUGGCUUGGACGUCUUUUGGGUCCCAUAAACGAUCGCUUUGGCAUUGCUGGUGUAUGGGUUCAUCAAAACUGUGCUGUGUGGAGUCCAGAGGUGUAUUUUGCCGGUUUAGGAUGCCUGAAAAAUGUAAAAGCAGCUCUUUGUAGGGGAAGAUCAUUGAAAUGCAGCCGCUGUGGGAGGCCAGGAGCAACUAUUGGAUGCCGUGUCGAUCGAUGUCCUAAAACUUACCACUUGCCUUGUGCGCGAGUUGAGGGUUGCGUUUUUGAUCACCGCAAGUUUCUCAUAGCUUGUGAAGAUCAUCGACACUUUUUCCAACCCCAUCAUUUGAAGUGGAUGAAAAAGCUGAAAAUUCAGAAAAUGAAGUUGGAAAUGAUGAAGAUUUCACAUGACGCUUCACGUAAGGAUCUUGAGGUAGAGGAAAAAUGGUUGGAGAACUGUGGUGAGGAUGAAGAGUUCUUGAAACGUGAGGGAAAGAGGCUACAUCGAGAUCUCCUGAGAAUUGCACCUGUGUAUAUUGGAGGUUCUAACUCGGAAAAUGAAAAAAUACACCAGGGUUGGGAAUCUGUUGCUGGCCUUCAAGACGUCAUCCAAUGUAUGAAGGAGGUUGUCAUAUUGCCUCUUCUGUAUCCAGAGUUGUUUAGUACUUUAGGGAUUACACCACCUAGAGGAGUUCUUUUGCAUGGUUAUCCUGGAACAGGAAAAACGCUAGUAGUGCGAGCGUUGAUUGGUUCAUGUGCUCGUGGUGAUAAGCGGAUAGCGUAUUUUGCUCGUAAGGGUGCAGAUUGUUUAGGAAAGUAUGUUGGUGAUGCCGAGCGCCAGCUAAGACUCCUGUUUCAGGUUGCUGAGAAAUCUCAGCCGUCUAUAAUAUUUUUUGACGAGAUUGAUGGGUUGGCACCAUGUCGGACGAGGCAGCAAGAUCAAACACAUAACUCUGUUGUGUCAACUUUGUUGGCGCUACUGGAUGGUCUGAAAUCUCGUGGUUCAGUCAUAGUAAUUGGGGCCACAAAUCGUCCUGAGGCAGUUGACCCUGCUUUGAGGAGGCCGGGAAGAUUUGAUAGGGAAAUUUACUUUCCAUUGCCAUCAGUUAAAGAUAGAGCUGAUAUUCUGUCAUUUCACACUCAAACGUGGCCAAAACCUGUAAAUGGGGCGCUGCUGAAGUGGAUUUCCCAGCAAACUGUGGGCUUCGCUGGUGCAGAUCUGCAAGCUCUUUGUACUCAAGCAGCCAUGAUUGCUUUAAAGCGGAACUGUGCCUGGCAAGACUUAAUGGUAUUGGUUGCAGAAAAGAAAGCUAACAAUGAUAAAUGUCCCCCACUUCCUUCCUUUUCUGUGGAAGAAAGGGAUUGGUUAGAUGCUCUCGCAUGUGCCCCUCCCCCGUGUUCUCGUAGAGAAGCAGGAAUGGCUGCAAGUGAUGUGGUUUCUUCUCCUCUUCAAACUCAUCUAACUCCCUGUCUGCUACAACCGUUAUCGCAUUUGCUUGUUUCCCUUUUUCUUGAUGAGCGCAUAUGGUUGCCACCUUCUCUUUACAAAGCAGCUGAGUUGAUUAAAAACGUUAUCAUCACGGCGUUGGAGAAGCGGCAUACGUGUAGUAAAUCCUGGUGGUGUCAUCUUCAUGAUUUAGUUCAGGAAGCAGAUAUUGUCGAAGAAAUAGAAAAAAAUCUAUUUCGUAGUGGCCUUUUAAUCGGGCCUUCUAGUGUUGCAGAUUCAGAUGUGGUAGAUGAUGAUGAUGCCAAUAAAGAAAAUGAGAAAUUUGAACUUCACAAAGUGAAUCUAGCUGGCGCACGUGCUAAUUUGUUGAGCAAUGUUUCAUAUUCAUCAGGCAGAGGAUCGGGAUUUAGGGUAUUGGUUGUUGGAUGUCCCAGAUCUGGUCAAAGUCACCUUGCCUCUUGUCUUCUCCAUAGUUUUGUGGGGCGUGUCGAAAUCCAGAAGGUUAAUCAGGCUACUAUUUCACAAGAAGGACAAGGAGAUGUAGUCCAAGGCGUAACCCGAAUAUUGCUGAAGUGUGCACGCGCGGGCUUGUGCAUUAUUUACUUACCCAGAAUUGAUUUGUGGGCCAUGGAGGCAAACAAUCUGGUUGCUGAAAGCGAGAGUGAUACAUCUGAUAAUGCAUACAAAUCAACUGAUACAACAGUGGCUUAUGAUGCUAGAAGAACUGCCUCACAGGCGUGGAAUACUUUUAUUGAGCAGGUGGAUUCAACAUGUUUGUCCACAUCCUUGAUAAUUCUGGCUACUUCUGAGGUGCCAAAUCAAGUACUCCCUUUCAGAAUAAGUCAGUUCUUUACAAGUCAUGUGUCCCACUGUAGCAAAUUAGCCCCUUCCGAACACACCGUACCACGAUUUCUCGUUCAACUUGACGAGAACUUCGAUUGCAGCAUGGCAAUCAACUCAUCUGCAAAAGAGUUGUCAUGGCGUUUGGUUCAACAUUACGUUCAGUUAAUUCAUGACCGAACUCAUAUAGCUAAUAUAUCCAAGGAACAUACUGUUACUGCUGCAGUUGUGGAUAAUCCCAUUACCGAGAAAUACCAUAAAGAGAACGGAGUAGUCGAAGAAGGAUCCUACGCUGUGACAUCUGGAAGGCGCGUAUAUAUUGGCAACCAAAGUCAGCAACACACUAGCUGUGAUGAACCAUCUCCAGUGGUGUUAAGAUCUACCGACCAUCAUGAAAUUGAGGACACACCAGGUUACUCUCAAGAUUCUGUUCCGAAAAUUCUCCCAAGUAGAACUUUAAAAGGGAAACCGAGCUUGUUAUGUGCAAUAUCUACAUUUGGGUAUCAAAUUCUGCGAUAUCCUCAUUUCUCAGAACUCUGUUGGACUACAUCGAAACUAAAAGAAGGUCCUUGUACAAAUAUAAAUGGGCCUUGGAAAGGUUGGCCAUUUAAUGCAUGUAUUAUUCGUCCCAAGAUAUCGAUGGAGAGUGUAGCUGUUAGCUGGGACUCUAGUGAUACAAAAAACAGAGAGAAUUCUGGUGUUGUCAGAGGGCUUAUAGCUGUUGGUAUGUUGGCAUAUCAAGGUGCUUAUACAUCAGUUAUAGAAGUUUCCUCUAAUGUUCGAAAGGUUCUUGAGCUCUUAGUUGAACAGAUCAAUGCAAAAAUUUCGAGUGGGAAAGAUAGAAAUCGGUUCCUUCGUCUUCUUUCUCAAGUUGCUUAUCUAGAAGAUCUGGUGUACAGCUGGGCAUACACACUUCAGAGUUUAGAGUUGGACAGUCGAAUUCCCCUGUCAAGCACAGAUGCGGUAUUGGGGGGUUCUUCGGAAUUCCUAACUGGAAGUAAACCAUGCAUAUUAGGAAUUUCUGAAAAGAACUCCGAUGAAGUAAAAAUGCAUGGACAGAGUCCUCCGAGAUUUGUGAUCAAAAAUGACAAAUGCAUUGAUUCUAUAACGGAAUUUACUAAUCUUGGUUUACUCAACUCUGAGGUGAGAACCACAGUGGCCAUGGAGCAGUCUGAACAGUCGGUGUUUUCGGAUCACUCUUCUCCUGUUCUGCCUCAAAGUUCUUCCUUGGUUGCAAACUCGCUUACCGUUGAAAUCACUUCCACCACAUGUAGGAAGACCAAUGAAUUUAUAGGUGGUCUAUCUGAAAAGCAUGUCUCAGUUGCAGUCCAUCGUGAAGGUUUUGAGUCGUCAAAUGGUGUGGGACAGGAAGAAAUAACUUUUCCAUCUGAGGAUAGUGUUUGUAAUGAAUCAGGUGGCAAUAUGAACUCCAGAACUGAAAGUGUCAGCUACCAUUCUAAUGGUCUUGCAAUGGGAGAGACUGACAUUUCUAAUCGGAGGGUGGAUAUUCAUGAUGAUCCUGAUAAAGAUGUCAAUUCUAACUCUAACAAAAACAGUGAUGUUUCAGCUGUCUCUGGGGUAACUUGUUUUUAUAAUUGUUGCUCUGACUGCGUAUAUAAGAUCAACGGCUUGAUUCAGAAGCUUCUCAUUCACGAGAAGGAGAAAAAGGGAAACAGCUGGACUGUAGAAGAUGUUCAUGAUGCUGUUUCAUCCUUGUCUGUCAAUCUUCUGUCAUCCGUUAGAAAAUUUUGUGCUGCCGCAAGUGCUAUUGGUUCAGAAUUUCUUGAAGAUGAAGUUGGACCUGAAGGUCGAGAAAACUCUUGUGCAUGUCCAGGAGUUGGCCAUUUUAAUAAGACGUCUGGGAACCGCAGAAGUACUGGUAAAGGGGUAGUUUUAUCAAUGGAGUGUAGUUGUCACAUAGAAAGCAAGACUAUCACUGCAAAGACAGAUAAAUGUUUAAACUCUCAAUUGGAGUUAGGAUUAAGAUUUUUUUUCAGAAACAAUGUACUAAUCCCUUUAGAUUCUGACAAGGAUGUUUUAUUUCAUUGCAAAGUUGAGAAUUUGUGCCUCAGUUCUCUUAUAGAGCUAGUUUUGAAGAUCAAGCAGCCCUUAGAUUGAUGUGCUAUAUUGUCAACUCGAGUAAACCUUCUCGUAUUGGAAAGUCUUCCUGCAAUCCAACUGUUAGAUUUCUCGGGAUAUUCUACACGAGGCCUAAGUACUGGAACUUGUGUAGUUCAAGUGUGUCUUAUUAGAUAAAGAUGCAACAGACUGAAAAGUGCACCCAGUCUUCUAGAUCCUACUGGAGUCGAUCUAUACACAGUUCCCAAUCGAAGAUCACAUCCUUGUAUGAUUCAGAUCAGAAACAAACAUCAGGAUGGAGCUAUGGCAACGGAAGUAUUCCUAUUAUUUGGAGCUUUAUUUCCACUUAACAGUGUAGCCAUGGACAUCUCUUUUAUUCCGCAUCAUUCACGGACCUCUGGUAAAAAUAUCAGUUUGAUGAUUGACUUCCUUCUGGGGCAGUUCAGAUUACUGGUUGAGUAAAUAGUAAGUCCGUUUGAUCUUACCUCUGCUCUUUAUUUUCGUUAAAAUUAGAAUCAUCAAUCAAUCCUGCCACAUUAUUUAGUAGUAGCUUUUUGCACUGCUGGUUUGGAGGUAAUCUAUAUCUGCUCAACAUACAUCUAAUUAAAUUAAACUAU